Molecule: long non-coding RNA, 560 nt
Filed under: Gossypium raimondii (Peruvian cotton)
Lineage: Eukaryota; Viridiplantae; Streptophyta; Magnoliopsida; Malvales; Malvaceae
Description: long non-coding RNA (GRAI_LNC005319)
Source: RNAcentral
UGGAAUCCAUAAACUCACCAAAAAGGGAACAUUUUUUCCCAGAGACCCUCCCCCUUUCUUAUCACAGGAAGAAAGGAUAACGUUGAAGUCUCCAAUAGACAACCAUGGAGUCCCGUCCAACGGGAUUACACAUUUUAGGGCUUCCCAUAAAUACUUUCGUUUUUGUCUGUCCGGACUCCUAUAAACAAAUGUAACAAGAAAAUGUCACCUAUGUGGAGUUUCAGAAACUCUAAGUAAAAUGAACUGAGGAUAAUUUUUUAAAAUUUCUACAUCCCUCCACCCAAUCCAAAUACCAUUAGAGAAACUCACCGCCUCCACACGAUGGGAAAAAUUAAAACCAAGGUUAGUAAUAACCGAAUCGACUUUGAAACCACUUACCCUUGUUUCUAAAAGGCCAAUCAUAAUUGGCUUAUGCUCCCUAUUAUACUCAUAGAAAAUACAAGGAAACUUCAAACUAGCACAACUUUAACAAUUCCAACAAAAAAUGUUAAAAUUCAUAAAAGACAAAAACAAGGGGCAAUCGUUAAUGUGCGGAAGAGGGAUCACCACCACCACUUCGU